UCCGUCUCAAAAAAAAAAAAGAGUUACAAAGUAGAGGUUAUCAGUGGCUGAUAUCAGGCUGGCCUUGUUUGGAUGGGGAAAAGGAACUCCAGAACUGAAAGACAGAGGGACUAGACUGCCUCUUGAGUGUGGAAGGUGGAUCAGAGCCAAGCAGGGAGCUGGGGAACCAGGGCUGGGAGUGGCUCGCCUGGUGGCGCAGACCCAGCUCACUCAAGAUGGAGCUCACACUGGGGAAGCCAGGAGAUUCAGCUCUGCUCCGAAGGCCCUUCCUGUCUGCACGUGGGUAUCACUGCAUGAAGAGGAGUAGAGACCCGAUUGGGCAGAAGCCAUUCCUUGUUCUAUUUUUGAAGCUUUUUGGCUGAAGCCAGUGUUUCAUACGAGGAAAUGAAAGUUGGCUGAUGUAAUUCAGUUUAAAAUAGGUGUCACCUUUGGGGACCUAACCCAGAUUGUAAUUUUAUUUUGCAUGCUGGGUAUUCAGAACUCAGCAAAGAGUGUGUCGUCAGGAUUGCAACUGAGGUUGGGGGGUAAGGGUGGAGACUGGCUCAUUGUUGGCAAAAGCUUCUGUUAGAUUGAUAAACUCUUUCCAGGUAACAGUUGGGACCUCAUUGAUCCCGAUAGAUCUUAGAAGUUCUAGCACAUCUUAAUUUCCUUAAUAAGAAAUUGAUUGAUGAAGAGCAUUGAUGAAGAGUUAGGAGGUCUCCCUUUGUACCUACAUUUUCCCCUUUUUUAGAAUGAGAAGAUGAGAACGACCUCCAGUUCACAUGUACAGGUGUUGUGAGGAUCCAGUAGGGGAGAUACAGUGCCCAGCACCAAGCAGGUGCAAGUGAGCGCAAUCCAAUUUUCCAGCAAGUUACCCCUCAAGGACAGUUGCUUUGACGUGGAAGGCAGAGAGGGAGGAAGAAGGAGGGUUUGCAUGGUUGGCAGAGGUGCCCUGCGCCCUCCCCGUGCAGGCUGUAAACAGUCUCUGCCCACCUGGAAGCCGUGGAAGGUGGGUGGGAAGAUGAGAUCCCAUCUGACUCUGUUCCCUGAGCUGUUUCUGAAGUGAGCUUGUUCAUGACAGCGUGGACGUGCUUGAGCCUAGCUAUCCUUAACUGGUGGUGAUGCACAGGGGACAUGCUUCGGGCAUUCCAUGCAGCCUUGCGGAACUCUCCCGUCAACACCAAGAAUCAAGCUGUGAAGGAGCGAGCCCAGGGCGUGGUGCUGAAAGUGCUCACAAACUUCAAGAGCAGCGAGAUUGAGCAGGCUGUGCAGUCACUGGACAGAAACGGUGUUGACUUGUUAAUGAAGUACAUUUAUAAAGGCUUUGAGAAGCCCACAGAAAAUAGCAGCGCAGUGUUACUCCAGUGGCACGAAAAGGCCUUAGCAGUAGGAGGACUAGGCUCCAUUAUAAGAGUUCUCACAGCAAGAAAGACUGUUUAAAAAAAACAAAAAGACUCAUGUUACUUGAGAAGAAUUCUGGAUGCCCAGGCUGGUGAAGAAGGGAUUGACAAUGGACCAUCUUCCUAGGAACUCCCAAGUAAACUAUUUCAGGACAUGUAUCUGCUGAAAUGUAUUUUAUUUUCAAGGUGGAGGGGAAAAUCGUCUGUUUCCUAAGUCCUGUUUAGGAUCUGAUAGUCUACGCCUUUGUCUCCGAGUACUGCAGAACUGACAUUUUGACGGUUUACCAGAGUGGCGGCUGGUGUUGGUCAGGUGCACCUGUGUGCACUGGGGGAGGGAUGGUUUGAGCAGGUGCAGAUCCAAGGGCUGUGGUAAACGGGAGAGCUUGUGUUUUUGAAGUGGAAAAAAACCCAAGAGUUUGUACAGACAUCCUGUCUUCCCAGAGAAGGUGGACACUCUUGGGCUCAUUGUAAAGUGCCUGCUGCAUCAAUAAAGCUCUUGG
This 1879-nucleotide small RNA is filed under the name Pongo abelii (Sumatran orangutan). RNAcentral's name for it is "processed transcript". Lineage: Eukaryota; Metazoa; Chordata; Mammalia; Primates; Hominidae. The record is from RNAcentral.